AAAAAAAUCGGUACGUCGGUCUACCGAUCAACAUCACUCGCUCGGUGGAAGAUCUUCCCUUUUAUCGU
RNAcentral lists this microRNA precursor (68 nucleotides) under Bombyx mori (domestic silkworm). Its description in RNAcentral is "mir-2774 microRNA precursor family". It matches the Rfam family "mir-2774 microRNA precursor family". The record is from Rfam by way of RNAcentral. Lineage: Eukaryota; Metazoa; Arthropoda; Insecta; Lepidoptera; Bombycidae.